RNAcentral lists this ribosomal RNA (429 nucleotides) under Acidobacteriota bacterium. RNAcentral's name for it is "Acidobacteria bacterium partial 16S ribosomal RNA". It matches the Rfam family "Bacterial small subunit ribosomal RNA", at positions 355 to 776 of the family's 1533-position model. Lineage: Bacteria; Pseudomonadati; Acidobacteriota. The record is from RNAcentral.
UAGGGAAUCUUCCACAAUGGACGAAAGUCUGAUGGAGCAACGCCGCGUGAGUGAAGAAGGGUUUCGGCUCGUAAAACUCUGUUGUUAAAGAAGAACAUAUCUGAGAGUAACUGUUCAGGUAUUGACGGUAUUUAACCAGAAAGCCACGGCUAACUACGUGCCAGCAGCCGCGGUAAUACGUAGGUGGCAAGCGUUGUCCGGAUUUAUUGGGCGUAAAGCGAGCGCGGGCGGUUUUUUAAGUCUGAUGUGAAAGCCUUCGGCUCAACCGAAGAAGUGCAUCGGAAACUGGGAAACUUGAGUGCAGAAGAGGACAGUGGAACUCCAUGUGUAGCGGUGAAAUGCGUAGAUAUAUGGAAGAACACCAGUGGCGAAGGCGGCUGUCUGGUCUGUAACUGACGCUGAGGCUCGAAAGUAUGGGUAGCAAACAGG